RNAcentral lists this ribosomal RNA (408 nucleotides) under uncultured bacterium. RNAcentral describes it as "partial 16S ribosomal RNA". It matches the Rfam family "Bacterial small subunit ribosomal RNA", at positions 28 to 526 of the family's 1533-position model. The record is from RNAcentral.
GACGAACGCUGGCGGCGGGCUUAACACAUGCAAGUCGAACGAAGUGGCGAACGGGUGAGUAACGUGUAAUCAACCGGCCCAUCAGGGGGGGACAACAGUUGGAAACGACUGCUAAUACCGAUUAAUGAAGAAGGGGUUGGCGUCUGAUUGGCUAGUUGGAGGGGUAAUGGCCCACCAAGGCGAUGAUCAGUAGCCGGUCUGAGAGGAUGAACGGCCACAUUGGGACUGAGACACGGCCCAGACUCCUACGGGAGGCAGCAGUGGGGAAUAUUGGACAAUGGGCGAAAGCCUGAUCCAGCCAUGCCGCGUGUGUGAAGAAGGUCUUCGGAUUGUAAAGCACUUUAAGUUGGGAGGCGUUACCAACAGAAUAAGCACCGGCUAACUUCGUGCCAGCCGCCGCGGUAAUUC